AGCGGCGUAGCCAGUAUUGUCCUUAAAAGCGUUCGGAGCGCACGUCUAUAUGCCUCUCCUUCUUAAUCUAUCCAUCUCUCUCUAAUUUCGCGAUAUUCAUCCUUCAAUAAAAAAAAGCAAUAGUGAUAAGUGAUAAAAAAUUAGUGAUAUUUUACGACUGUUAUCAAUUUAUUUAAGUUAACAGUGUUACGUAACAGGUUAAGGAAACGAACUGUUACCGAUUUAAAAAAAGAACAUUAUUUAACGUUAAAGUAUUUAUAAACAACGAUCGUACUGUGAUAAAGUAAAACGACGAGAGAAUUAAAAAAAAAAAUAAAAAAAAAAAACAAAACAUGUUCGCGCGUUAAUUGUUGCCGUAUUCAAAAAUCGAAUGUGUUUUCAUUUAGAAAAUGUCUCAAGAAUCAACGAUGACGAAGAAUUUUUUGACCGUCACCAAUAUCGUUAAUGAAGGUUUCAAAGGCGCCAAGAUCUCUCAGCUCGGGCUGUCCAAGUAUCUCUCACAGUCACU
Vanessa tameamea is the source of this 508-nucleotide long non-coding RNA. RefSeq lists it as uncharacterized. The record is from RefSeq and is a predicted model, not a curated record. NCBI's taxonomy places the organism in Eukaryota, Metazoa, Arthropoda, Insecta, Lepidoptera, Nymphalidae. The transcript has 3 exons.